UAUGUUGAAAAAAAAAAAAAAGACAUGUUUCUGAAAGACUUUCUAUGGUGCUAUUCCAUAAACAUUUUUUUUAAACAAAGUUUUUGACCUUUGAGCCAACCACCUGUAGACUACAAAUGUCUCUGUCUGGCUGGUAGCACUUGAAGACUAAAGACUUGCUAAAUGUAUCAAAAGUAUGUCAUUGCAAGGGUAGCUCUUGUCCUGUGGAACAACUGCUUAUAAUGCCUUAGAAUUAUUGUGAAUGAUUGAGCAGAUCCUCCUAAGAGACACACCUUUUUUGAAAAGUUGAGUAUAGUAGUAUAUGUUAGUUAGCAUCUCUAUGAGGAAAAUUAAUUUCUGUGACUGAGAUCUUUACCUAUAAAUAUGGUGACCUACUUUUAUUGUAGAAAAUUAAUUUUCUGCUUUGAAGCCAGGAUUUUUUAAAAUAUUAAUGUAUGUAUAUGUGAGAUUGUCUGAAUGAGUGAAGCUACAAGAAGGUGAAAAGUAGUGGGUGGCUGAUAAGUUUAAAUUUACAUGCCAAGUUCUGCUAGAAUCCUGUUUGAAGUAGCAACUUUAAUAAGCUGUUUCAUGGACAAAUAAUUGGAAUUUCUCAUUAUUAUCAAUCCCAUUUUAAAAAAGGCUCCUUCCUUCAGAGAAACUCUAUUUUGAUAUUUUUUUAUGUUGA
RNAcentral lists this long non-coding RNA (664 nucleotides) under Bos taurus (domestic cattle). RNAcentral describes it as "long non-coding RNA NONBTAT008305". The record is from RNAcentral. Lineage: Eukaryota; Metazoa; Chordata; Mammalia; Artiodactyla; Bovidae.